UGUUGUGGGACCCCUCGACUAGUCAGGAGCUUGGCCGCCCGCCAGGAGGUCGGGACAGUAUUCUUAAGGACCUUACAGGAAGGCUCGAAACCAGCCCUCUUCCUGCCCACGUGGGUAAUUUCAUCUGGUGACUGAGAACCGCCCGGGCUACAGUGUCCUCAUCUGUAAAAUGGGUCUGAGGUCAGAUCCCCCGCCGCAUAUACAGAGGCCAGGCCCAUGGAUGGGCUUCACGGUUGACUGGGAUCCUGGAUCCUUCGAGAUCUUUCCGAGAGGAGCCAGAGACAUAGCUGGGUGAACGCUGGGGGUUUUGGGCAAAGGAUUCACACGGAACUCGGAAGGGGGUACGGGCCGUUCUCCCUGGGCUGUGUGGCUGGAAGCCUCGGGACGCCCUGGUCCUUCUCCCACGGCCGCAAACGGGCCAGCGGGGCCGGGUGACGGGCCGCUGACCCCGCCUCAACCUCACUCGUGGCGGACAUAGUGACGGCCAAAGGGGGUGUCCUGCGACCCCAAACCCCACCCGAGUUGGGCAGAACUGACUAGUUUUCUUUCCCCCUUCACAUCCUCCUAACCUUGGUUGCCAUAACCCCAAGGGCCCCUCAAAAUGACAUCCAAGUGCCUUUACCAUCAUCAAAGAUGGGAGGGGUGUGUUCUCACAGCAGCAUUAGGACUUGACCGAAAGUCAGCAAAGUGGGAUCUCCCACCCCCUCUGCCCAACCCCCAUCCCAACAUGAACCGAGACCCCCCCCAGCCCCCCAUCCUAACAGGAACCAAGACCCCCAGCCCCCCAGCACCCCCCAGCCCCCUAGCCCCGCAGCCCCCUCCUGCUGUAUUUGGUUGGAAUCUAAUAAAAUGAAGCUGAUUUAAUAACAGA
This 871-nucleotide long non-coding RNA is filed under the name Lynx pardinus (Iberian lynx). Lineage: Eukaryota; Metazoa; Chordata; Mammalia; Carnivora; Felidae. The record is from RNAcentral.